CCUGUAUGGGACUCUCUGUGCUUCCUGGACUUGAUUAAGUAUUUCCUUUCCCAUAUUAGGGAAGUUUUCAACUAUAAUCUCUUCAAAUAUUUUCUCAGUCCCUUUCUUUUUUUCUUCUUCUUCUGGGACCCCUAUAAUUCGAAUGUUGGUGCAUUUAAUGUUGUCCCAGAGUUGUCCCUGGAUCCCGGGACCCUGGCAGUGGCGGGCUGCACAGGCUCCCCGGAAGGGGGGUGUGGAGAGUGACCUGUGCUCGCACACAGACUUCUUGGUGGCGGCAGCAGCAGCCUUAGAGUCUCAUGCCCGUCUCUGGGGUCCGCGCUGAUAGCCGCGGCUCGCGCCCGUCUCUGGAGCUCGUUUAGGUGGUGUUCUGAAUCUCCUCUCCUCGCGCACCAGGAAGCAAAGAGGCAAGAAAGAGUCUCUUGCCUCCUCGGCAGCUCCAGACCUUUUCCCGGACUCCCUCCUGGCUAGCUGUGGCGCACUAGCCCCUUCAGGCUGAGUUCCCGCCGUCAACCCAGUCUUCUCCCUGGAAUCCGACCUCCGAAGCCGGAGCCUCAGCUCCCAGACCCCGCCCGUCCCGGUGGGUGAGCAGACGAGCCUCUCUAGCAGAUGGUCACAUCUUUAGAUCCUGAAGCAAGAGC
This is a long non-coding RNA of Orcinus orca (killer whale), 638 nucleotides long. RefSeq lists it as uncharacterized. The transcript is spliced from 3 exons. NCBI's taxonomy places the organism in Eukaryota, Metazoa, Chordata, Mammalia, Artiodactyla, Delphinidae. The record is from RefSeq and is a predicted model, not a curated record.